UUUAAUUCUAAUUCACCUUUAUUCAAUUAAAACUAUAGACUAAAAAAAAAUUCAAUUAACUAUAGAAAAAGAAUAUUAGAAAGGGGGAGAAUUAGGGUUACGUGUUUUGUGGCCUUUGGAAUCAAAUCUCCUUCUUCCUUCGGACCAAACGGCAGCGACGACCCUCUUCUCCGAUUCAAAUUUCACCCGGUCACCCCCGGAGAACGGCACCUUCUCACGUCUUGGCCUCACCCUCUUCGUCCGUCUCAGUCUCUCUCAAUCCCGCACUAUCGUAAACUAACCCCAAUCAACCACCUCACUCUCGCUAGUCUUCCUCUCACACUCUCCUUCAAUUCGAACCUUUCCUUCUCCGAUUUUGGAUUUCUCUUUCUUCUGCGAACUCAGCGAGGAGCCUCUUGCGACGUUGUUGUUGCUCUUGCGUGGUAUUUCAGAAGACACCGAAGAUUGAAGGUUUGUUGAUAGAAAGAUGAACGAUGUGUUGCUAUAGAGUUCAAGCUGUUGAUGAUUAGAGUUUAUGAUGAAGGAUGUGGCGAAGAUGAUGAUUGAAUUGUAUGAGAUUGAUGAUGCUUUGAAGAGUGAUUGAAGAUGAUGCUGAGAAAGAUGAAGAGCGGUUGUUGAAUGGCGACGGCGAAUAUUGACGAUUUGCAGCAAUGAUGUGAGGAUGAAGCGGUGAAUUCUGCAGGUUUGGAGAAGAAUCUUAUUAUAGAGAUUUGAAGAUUGGGGAAGGUUCUGAAUUUGAGGAGGUUUGAAGAUUAUCGAGGGCACGGUGAUGGUGAAGAAGUGAAGAGAUUGAAGAAGAUGAAUUGAAGAAUGAUGAAGAUAGGAGAAGAAUCGAGAGAGCUUUUUCUGUGAAUGAAGAUGAUAUAUAUAUAUCAGGGGCUGAUUGUGCUUAGAUAUACGCGGAUGCCGGAUUUUGGUGAAUGCCGUGGCGUUAUGCUGAAAUCCUGAAUGAGGUUUGGAAUGAGAUUGGUUGCAGGCUCGGGACUCAACUCAUAGGCACUGGCGGGAUGUGGUUUUCUUAGUUUGAAAAUAGUUAGCACGUGAAGUCAAGUUCAGCUAAACAGGGGUCCUGUUAGUUGUAAGGUAUGUAUAUGAGUUUCUGAUGUGGUUUAUUGAAUGAGUGCAGCCCGGUUUUCUUUUAUGUUGUAGAGCGCUGUCGGUUUUGAUUUGCAAUACACAGAAUUGGCUUGAAUGCUCAGAGCUGGAAGUUGGGCUCAGUUUACUUGUUGGUUUAUGCAGGGUGGUUUGGAUUUUGCAGCAAGUAUUCUCGGGUUUCCGUGAGUUGGCUUUGAAUUGGCAGCAUGCACGUCUCGAGAUUUGACCACGUUAUUGCUUGAAUGUGCAGGAGCUGCUCACUUGUGUAAUGGAGAAAUGGAGGAGACGAACCGAGGCAAGCUUUGGCGAGGGACACAACUUUGGCUUAUGUCCACUAGAAUUAGCAAAUCAUUUUGAAUUCGAAACAGGGACUGAAUGUAAUAAAACCUUUGGUAUUUUGUACCCUUUGUAAGAACCUGUCCAUAUCCCGUGUCUUUGUAGAUUGGAUGCUUCAAGACCUUGUCAGAAGUUUAUGGCUUUUUGUAAUGAAAUGUUUGAUUGUGAUUUGUAAUGGAUGUAACUUGUAAUAGACUAUCUUAUACGGAUGGUGGUUUGGUAUGUAAUUCUUUUUUGAUGAGGGAUUUUGAAAUGAAUGGAUAUUUGAAUUUAUGCUUGCAACUUUGAAUAGAAUUUUCUUAUGAGUGAAUUGUGAAUGAUACUCGAGCAGAUAUUGAACGAUGACUUGAGUCUUGUAUGAACACUCACACUGAACUCAUAAUUACGCACCGCUUUGCCAUUAGUCUUCCCACAUGUCCACAUGCACUUAAACUUGCAACAUGAGCCAAUUAAUGAAUACUUUAUGCAUACCAUGAGAGAACUUGAACAUAGCCGAUCUUAAGUCAACUUGUUGAGCCACAAGUAGCCCAAUUGAUUAAACAAAGUCGAAUCCUCAAUACAACUCCAGAAUGUAUCACGUCUUGAUUGAAAUGUCUCCUUUAACAAACGAAUUUAAUAUGACACCCUGAGGAAUCCUCUGAUG
Long non-coding RNA from Vicia villosa (hairy vetch), 2074 nucleotides. RefSeq lists it as uncharacterized. Lineage: Eukaryota; Viridiplantae; Streptophyta; Magnoliopsida; Fabales; Fabaceae. The transcript has 5 exons. The record is from RefSeq and is a predicted model, not a curated record.